RNA transcript from Salvia splendens (bonfire salvia), 1168 nucleotides. It is a transcript of the gene named serine/threonine-protein kinase Aurora-3, with no coding region annotated. The transcript has 8 exons. NCBI's taxonomy places the organism in Eukaryota, Viridiplantae, Streptophyta, Magnoliopsida, Lamiales, Lamiaceae. The record is from RefSeq and is a predicted model, not a curated record.
CUUAGUUCAAAAUUUAAAUUAAUGAGAGAAGUUGAUGUCGUCGCAAAAUAUCUUCGAAUUCAAAUAUCACUGCUUCCCUCCCAUUCCCGUUCCCAAUUCAAAACCCCCAAAUUCAAUCUUCCGAUGGCCGAUCAGCGUCGCAAACCCCCAAAACAACCCCAAACGACCUCCAAAAGGCAAUGGUCUCUCUCCGAUUUCGACGUCGGCAAACCCCUCGGCAAAGGUAGAUUCGGCAGAGUGUAUCUAGCUCGCGAAAUCAAGAGCAAGUAUAUCGUGGCGUUAAAAAUUAUAUUCAAGGAGCAAAUUGAGAAGCAUGGCUUGCAGCACCAGUUGCGGAGGGAAAUGGAGAUCCAAAUCGCCCUUCGCCACCCCAAUGUGCUCAGGCUUCACGGAUGGUUUCACGACAAUGAGAGAAUUUUCAUGAUUUUGGAGUACGCUCACGGCGGCGAGCUCUACAGAAGGCUUCGGAAAUUGGGACACCUCACCGAGAAACAGGCUGCCACGUAUAUAGCUAGUCUCACAGAGGCUCUGUUGUACUGUCAUCAAAAGCAUGUCAUUCACAGAGACAUCAAACCGGAAAAUUUGUUGCUUGAUCAUGAGGGUCGGCUCAAAAUAGCAGACUUUGGCUGGUCUGUACAGUCCAGAAGCAAAAGACACACUAUGUGUGGAACCUUGGACUAUUUAGCACCAGAAAUGGUGGAGAGAAAGGCGCAUGACUAUGCUGUUGAUAACUGGACAUUGGGAAUUCUCUGCUAUGAGUUUAUAUAUGGUGUCCCUCCAUUUGAGGCUGAAAGCCAGAUGGAUACAUUCGAAAGGAUAAAGAAGAUUGAUUUAGCAUUUCCUUCCAUCCCUGAUGUUUCAGCAGAAGCUAAAGAUCUCAUUAGCAGGCUUCUUGUGAAGGAUUCAUCGAAAAGGCUGUCCCUCGAGAAGAUCAUGGGACAUCCUUGGAUCGUGAAGAACGCCAACUCUACGGCGCAGAGGACGUCACCCUCCCCGCAAUGAUCGACGAGAGCGGUGCGGUUUCCGACGGUGCCCUUUCAGUUUUCCCAAAUUUUAGGCGUAUUAUCGAUUUUUACGACGGAGAUGGUGGAUGAAUCUAGUCGGGCCAAGUUUGACUGUCUCGAUGGGGUUAAGCUAUCUGGAGAUGCCGAAUUUCAGUGCUUGCCUC